Bicyclus anynana (squinting bush brown) is the source of this 2675-nucleotide RNA transcript. It is a transcript of the gene named cell division cycle protein 23 homolog, with no coding region annotated. The record is from RefSeq and is a predicted model, not a curated record. Lineage: Eukaryota; Metazoa; Arthropoda; Insecta; Lepidoptera; Nymphalidae. The transcript is spliced from 7 exons.
GUCCGAAAAUUCAAAUAUUUUUUUGUGAUUUUUCUGAGAUUGUUGCGUUUUGAAUUAAUAUUGACUAAAGCCUAAUAAUUUUAAUAAAUUUACUUAAUUGUUAAAGUAACAAUAUGCAACCCUUACUUAAUACUAAGGGUGAUAUACAAAUUGACUUAAAUCAAGUGAGAAUUGAUAUACUAAAUGGUAUUCGUGAAUGUAACGAUCGUGGCUUGAUACAAACUGCAAAGUGGCUGGCGGAGUUAAAUUUUGCUCUUAAAGACCAUAAAAUUGAUCAAUCAGAGCCGCCUGAACCACCUGAACACGAUAUAAUACCGGAAGAAAGAGAAGCGUACAACCUUGCAAAGAGUUAUUUCGAUUGUCAAGAGUAUGAUAGAGCUGCUCAUUUCAUAGAAAAUUGCACAAGUCCAAAGUGUGUGUUCCUACACAAGUAUUCACAAUACAUGUCGAGCGAAAAGAAGAGAUUGGACAAUGCCACUGAUACUGGAAUGGAAAAUAUGGAAUCUACACAAGUUUUAUUAGAUUUAUUAUCUUUUUUCAAGGCUAACUCUAACACUCUAGAUGGUUACCUUUUAUAUUUAGAAGGUGUGGUGUUGAAGAAAUUAGAUUUACGCAGCCAAGCAGUUUCAGUUCUCCAAGCAGCAGUGGCAGCGGUGCCCACGCUCUGGGCUGCGUGGGUGGAACUUGCUGGCCUCGCUAACGAAUAUGAGGCCUUAGAUUCACUGCAAUUGCCAAAGCACUGGAUGAUGUACUUCUUUGCAGCUCAUGCAUUUGUGGAACUGAAACUUUCUGAGCAAGCUCUUGAAGCGUACAUGGUUCUGACUGCUGCGGGCUUUGAGAAAAGCACUUAUAUAACAGCUCAGAUGGCUAUUGCACACCAUGACAGGAGAGAUGUUGAUUCAUCUCUAGCAUUGUUCAGAGAUCUGUACCAAAAUGAUCCGUACCGCUUGGACAAUUGGGAUGUGUACUCACAUUUGUUGUACCUGAAAGACAAAAGGAUGGAGCUGGCCAAUUUAGCACAAAAAGCUGUUUCUAUUGACAAAUACAGAGUUGAAACAUGUUGUGUUAUAGGUAACUAUUACAGUUUGAGAAGUGAGCAUCAGAAAGCAGUUUUAUAUUUCCAAAGAGCUCUAUCAAUGGACCCACAGUACUUAUCAGCGUGGAUACUCAUGGGACAUGAGUUCAUAGAACUACAGAACUCUAAUGCUGCAAUACAGUGUUACAGACAAGCUAUAGAUGUCAACAGAAAUGAUUACAGAGCUUGGAAUGGUCUUGGCCAGGCAUAUGAAAUCCUAGGCCUCAAUGGUUACUGCAUUUACUACUACUCAAGAGCAGCUCAACUUAAACCGGAUGAUUCUAGAAUGCUCGUUUCCUUAGGAGAGGCAUACGAGAAGAUGGAGAAAAUCCCCAAUGCACUUAAAUGCUAUUACAAGGCCCACAGUACAGGAGAUAUCGAAGGCAUGGCAUUGUUUAAAUUAGCUAAGUUAUACGAGAAAUUGAACAUGCCGAACAGUGCAGCGGCGGCGUACACGGCCGCCUGCCAGGAGCCAGCCAACGCGGGCAGCAAGGAGCUGCCGGCCGCGCAGCGCUACCUCGCGCAGUACUACCUGCGCUUCUCGCUCGUCGACCACGCGGCGCACUACGCCUACAAGUGCCUGGAGCACGAGAGUGUAAGUGUCAGGAGCCAGCCAACGCGGGCAGCAAGGAGCUGCCGGCCGCGCAGCGCUACCUCGCGCAGUACUACCUGCGCUUCUCGCUCGUCGACCACGCGGCGCACUACGCCUACAAGUGCCUGGAGCACGAGAGUGUAAGUGUCAGGAGCCAGCCAACGCGGGCAGCAAGGAGCUGCCGGCCGCGCAGCGCUACCUCGCGCAGUACUACCUGCGCUUCUCGCUCGUCGACCACGCGGCGCACUACGCCUACAAGUGCCUGGAGCACGAGAGUGUAAGUGUCAGGAGCCAGCCAACGCGGGCAGCAAGGAGCUGCCGGCCGCGCAGCGCUACCUCGCGCAGUACUACCUGCGCUUCUCGCUCGUCGACCACGCGGCGCACUACGCCUACAAGUGCCUGGAGCACGAGAGUGUAAGUGUCAGGAGCCAGCCAACGCGGGCAGCAAGGAGCUGCCGGCCGCGCAGCGCUACCUCGCGCAGUACUACCUGCGCUUCUCGCUCGUCGACCACGCGGCGCACUACGCCUACAAGUGCCUGGAGCACGAGAGUGUAAGUGUCAGGAGCCAGCCAACGCGGGCAGCAAGGAGCUGCCGGCCGCGCAGCGCUACCUCGCGCAGUACUACCUGCGCUUCUCGCUCGUCGACCACGCGGCGCACUACGCCUACAAGUGCCUGGAGCACGAGAGUACAAAAGAAGCUGGAAAGAAUAUACUCAAAACAAUAUCCGAGAAAAGACUUGCAGCAUCUAACUCAUCUCAAUCAAAUUUCAAGACUGAAGAUCUGCCAGAAGCCAUUAAAAACGCAUCUACAUCUUCUCUCACUCAAGAUACGCCCAAGACUCCAUUCCCCUUACCCAGUCCCAAUGUGACACCCGAUAGCUUCUCCACACCAAAGUUUACGCGGCACAAUAGUAAAUACAAAAUUUAACCAACCAUACAAUUUAAUGAUUAUCCUGCAUACCAAUAUGUCGAUUGUAAUUUAAGAAAAUUAAACAUAAGGAACUAUGA